RNA transcript from Lycium ferocissimum, 1756 nucleotides. RefSeq lists it as uncharacterized. The record is from RefSeq and is a predicted model, not a curated record. Lineage: Eukaryota; Viridiplantae; Streptophyta; Magnoliopsida; Solanales; Solanaceae. The transcript has 4 exons.
UUACUUCAAAGUCUACCAAGUAAUAUAAGAGUAUAGAUCUAUUUUGAAGAGUGCUAUAUUGCUACUUGGGGGCAUUUAUGAAACUUGGUACUAUAUUAUUCUCAGUCUUAAACUCUUAAUUGCUCCUGGAUUAUGUAUUGAUGGCUCUCUAGCUUCUCUUUAGUGCAAUUAUUAUUGGAAGGUUUAGUGGCUUAUCGACUUGUCGUUAUAACUUAAAAGGAGAUCGAAGAGACUUUUUAGUCCACUUAGUUUUCAAACUUUUUGUGGUUGAGCAUACAAUAUCCUAAAGCUGAUAUACCUAUUUCUUCAACAAUCAGACUUUCAUCUCCGUAUACAGAAGAAGAUUCAAUAGCAGCAGCAUCUUAGAGAACAAUUUUUUUGACAUACCCUUGAUGUAGUAUCCAUAUGUAGAGCGAGUCUAUUUUCACGUUCCUUUGCCUUUCCACCCUCAUUUCCAGUAGCUUCAUUUUGCAUAGCCACAUGAUCUAGUACAUUAUUGUUUAUCCUGAAAAAAGUAUAAUGCAAGCCAUUACAGUUGUAAUGACAAGCAUGUGUAAGUCAAAUGCCCUUUGAGAUGUUACAAUGCCCUGUGGAAUCCACACAAACUAACAAACUUGUAGGUGAGUACGUCAUGACAGACAUCAGAAUUGACAUAUUAAAUGCACCAAAAAACAGAAUUGACAUAUUAAAAAAUGUAUGCACAAAUGGCAAACUAGAUGGUCUCAAAACACCUAAGUUGUUGUUUCCGUUCAAAACAAAAAAUCCAAGUUGUUGUGUGUUGCCUUUAGGGACAUCCAGUAAAGUUGGAGCAGCCAAAAUUGUUUUUAACCAACAUUGCACUAGCUAGACAAUAAAAUUUGGCUUCAAAUACCAGCUUGAACCUUAUGCAUGCAUCUCAAAAUUCACUUACAGAUCUGAAUUUUCUACCGGAACAUUCAUUGAGCAAGAGGCAUUAUCUUCUUCCAUUGGAGAUUGAGACGUCGAACGUUCUCUAAUAGUAGUUGGUGAUACGAGCAGCAUAGUUCCAGGACCAAUUUCAUUAGGAGGAAUGUUUCUGUUCUUUUCAUAAAUUAGAAUAUCUGCUUCUUCAAAGCCUUGUUCCUGUAGAAUGUUAAAAAGUUGCCUCUGGAGUCUUUCAACAGGUGACAAGAUGUGCUGUCUAAGCUUUGAUCUCUUUCUUCUUGGGACGCUGUCAAGAUUCCAGAGAGGAUCUUUGUCUGCUUCUCCUAACAAAAGGUGAACGUUAAUGCAUACAAAACAAUAAGUUGUAUGAGGAUGAUCCUGCUGAACCUAAGCUUGAUAUGUUAUUCAUUUCCUCUUCAAGACAAGCUGAGGAGCCAUCCUGUCCAGAAACAUCUACUCCAACUUCUAGCUUUUGGUCGUCACGAGCUAAGAGACGCGGCUUCUUCACUGAAGGUGAGAGUUGAAGUCCAUACAGGUGGUGAAAUUGGAUGGAUUUCCUAUUUGGCGAGAGUUUCCCUGCUAUUGAGAUGCAGCAACGACACACUUAUUUUUUCUAUCUUACCUUCCUUGCGAAUUUCUUUUGUCGCCAUUGAUAGAGUUUCAUGUAUCUAAGGAUAUGAUUUUUCCUUUAUAUCAUGCUUACUGAUUUCCAAAUAACAACAACCACUAUGCCUUAAUCCAAGCAAGUUGGGGCGACUCUAUGAAUCCUCAUCAUCUUGCUUCAUUUAAGCUCAUCUCGUCAUGCUUACUGAUGUAAAAAUACUUAUUUCAUAUUUAAGAUUACUGACAUAUU